GGUUUGUGGCUCAGGGGUAGAGCACUUGCGUAUCAUGUGUAAGGCCCUGGGUUCAAUUCUCAGCACCG
Molecule: transfer RNA, 68 nt
Filed under: Marmota monax (woodchuck)
Lineage: Eukaryota; Metazoa; Chordata; Mammalia; Rodentia; Sciuridae
Description: tRNA.Tyr
Source: RNAcentral